ACGAACGCUGGCGGCUGCUUAACACAUGCAAGUCGAACGGAGUGGCGAACGGGUGAGUAACACGUGGGUGAUCUGCCUAUGACAGUGGGAUAGCCUCGGGAAACCGGGAUUAAUACCGCAUAGUCAUAGAUGGGCUCGCUUCUGAUUAGCUAGUUGGUGAGAUAACAGCUCACCAAGGCGACGAUCAGUAGCCGGUCUGAGAGGAUGCACGGCCACAUUGGAACUGAGACACGGUCCAAAAUACUACGGGAGGCAGCAGUGGGGAAUAUUGCAAAAUGGGGGAAACCCGGAUGCAGCGACGCCGCGUGAACGAAGAAGGUAGUCGUAUCGUAAAGUUCUGUCCUAUGGGAAGCAGUACCAUAGAAGAAAGCUCCGGCUAAAUACGUGCCAGCAGCCGCGGUAAUAC
This 406-nucleotide ribosomal RNA is filed under the name uncultured bacterium. RNAcentral describes it as "partial 16S ribosomal RNA". It matches the Rfam family "Bacterial small subunit ribosomal RNA", at positions 29 to 526 of the family's 1533-position model. The record is from RNAcentral.